ACUCGCAUUUUCUGUUACGUGAAGUGCAGAGCUUGGCCUGUAAACCCAGUCAUUACUACCAUCACUGUGGCUUCCAGAAUGUCAGGAUUAAAACGGACCGCAUGGAGUCUUACGCAAGACUGAGUCCACCAGGCAAUUUGAACCAAUAAAUAUCAAAAUCGUGUCCGAGCAAAGGAAAGUUCACCCGACAUUCUACCAACGGGAGUGUGAAGAGUUUUCCAGCUUGGCCUUCACCCUGGUAAAUGAAUUAUGAAAACAAAGACUCAAUAUGAAGCUGCCAAUGCUAAUGACUGGGUAGGAUGUGGACGCACAAUCAACAAAGGGUGCUCUGUCCCAGGAGGAGGAGUGAGAACUGCCCAUUACUAGAUCUGGGGGCUGCAAGACCCACCUUUCCCCUACCCUUCAAACCCUGAGCUCACGAAUGAGCUUGGAAAUCUGGCAAAGCUCCCUGCACUCAGGUUCAGCAGUCUUGAAAACAGCAUCUAAACCAACAGCAGGCAAAUAUAGAAGCUCAGGUAUUGAGCACCUGGGGAUACUA
Molecule: long non-coding RNA, 538 nt
Filed under: Mus musculus (house mouse)
Lineage: Eukaryota; Metazoa; Chordata; Mammalia; Rodentia; Muridae
Description: RIKEN cDNA 4930555G21 gene (4930555G21Rik)
Source: RNAcentral